UUCUGGUCAUUAGAGGAAGUAAAAGUCGGUUUCCGUAGGUGAACCUGCGGAAGGAUCAUUAACGAAAUGUUUGUCGAGAAGGGUUGUAGCUGGCCUCACUUGGCAUGUGCACGCCCUGAUCGCGAACUUCACCCUUCACACCUGUGCACAAUCCCGCAGCCUUUGCGACGUUGAUGAAAUGGAUUUGCUUCCAAUUUGUAUGCGUCCUUGGCUUGCGAGCUUUUUAUCACACACACACUCUUUGUCAAGUAUCAGAAUGUCUCAGCAUGUAGAAGCGCGAAACAAAUACAACUUUCAGCAACGGAUCUCUUGGCUCUCGCAUCGAUGAAGAACGCAGCGAAAUGCGAUAAGUAAUGUGAAUUGCAGAAUUCAGUGAAUCAUCGAAUCUUUGAACGCACCUUGCGCUCCUUGGUAUUCCGAGGAGCAUGCCUGUUUGAGUGUCAUGAAAUUAUCAACUGCCUUUGAUGGGCUUUUUGCUCUUAAAAGGGUGAGGUUGGAUUUGGAGGAUUAUUUUGCUGGCGGCUCUUCAACGAGCUUUGUUGGCUCCUCUGGAAUGCAUGAGCCUUCCUGUGCGCCGGCGAAGCGACUCUACGAUGUGAUAACCAUCUCCGUCGUACGUCGCGUUUGCUUUGGGCACGAACGAAGCGCGGAUCGCGUCUUUCAGGAUGCGUCCUUGACAAAUUUGACCUCAAAUCAGGUAGGACUACCCGCUGACUA
This 717-nucleotide ribosomal RNA is filed under the name uncultured Thelephoraceae. RNAcentral's name for it is "eukaryotic LSU rRNA". The stretch from base 290 to 443 matches the Rfam family "5.8S ribosomal RNA". Lineage: Eukaryota; Fungi; Basidiomycota; Agaricomycetes; Thelephorales; Thelephoraceae. The record is from RNAcentral.